RNA transcript from Humulus lupulus (European hop), 3407 nucleotides. It is a transcript of the gene named zinc finger CCCH domain-containing protein 5, with no coding region annotated. Lineage: Eukaryota; Viridiplantae; Streptophyta; Magnoliopsida; Rosales; Cannabaceae. The record is from RefSeq and is a predicted model, not a curated record. The transcript is spliced from 10 exons.
AUAAAAUAUAAAAAUAUAUAGAUAGAUAUGUUAUGUAGUGAUUUAGCUCAAUUUUAACAAAGAAUUACGAGUAUACAGGAAAGUCUUUACCCGGAUUACAAAUCGAUUUUGGUUUGGGCUUUGGGAAGCAAGAGAACCGAAGUAAAUAAUGGCAGAAGUAAUAGCCAUAGCCAAAGCGGAGGAGGUGGAGGAAGAAGAUAGAGAAAAGCAGCCGGAAAUUGGGGGUUUAGCUAUGGAGAAUGGAAUGAAUAGGAAGGAAAAGAGAAAGGCAUUGAAGAAGAUGAAGAGGAAGCAGAUAAGAAAAGAGGUAGCUAUGAAGGAGCGAGAGGAAGUGGAGGCGUGGCUUAACGAUCCAGAGGAGCAGAAGAGGAUCAGUUUGAUGGAGAAGGAAGAUGCGGACAGGUCCGAGAGGGAGAGGAAGGAGUUCGAGGAGAGGGAGAAGGCCUGGCUCGAGGCCAUGGAGAUGAAAAGGAAGAAGAUGGAAGAAGAAGAAUAUGAGGAACAACGAAAGAAGGCACUGGACGAAGAGUCUCGGAAACAGCAGGCUGAGACUGCAAAUGAGGGUAAUGAGAGUGAUGAAGGGGAAUACGAAGAAGGGCCUGCUGAAAUUAUCUGGCAAGGAAAUGAGAUCAUUUUCAAGAAGAAAAGGAUCAGGGUCUCGACGAAAAAUAGUCAGCUAGAUGACUUAAGUAGAAAAGAGGAUGUUGACAGGCCCACAUCUAAUCCUCUUGCACCAGAAUCUGAAACUUUUGCUAAGUAUAGAAACUCAUUGAUGUGUGGACAGCAAUUGAUUGAGAGUGUUGCCGAACAAGUACCAAAUUUCGGAACUGAACUGGAUAAAGCUCAUUGUCCUUUCCACUUAAAAACUGGAGCUUGUCGGUUUGGUCAGCGUUGUAGUAGAGUCCAUUUCUACCCUGAUAAAUCUUGCACUCUGCUUAUCAAGAAUAUGUAUAGUGGACCUGGCCUUGCUUGGGAGCAGGAUGAGGGGCUUGAGUAUACUGAUGAGGAGGUUGAACGCUGUUAUGAAGAAUUUUAUGAGGAUGUCCAUACGGAGUUCUUGAAAUUUGGGGAAAUUGUGAAUUUCAAGGUAUGUAGAAAUGGGUCAUCUCAUCUGCGAGGAAAUGUGUAUGUACACUUCAAAUCAUUGGAUUCUGCUGUUCUGGCACAUCAUUUUGUUAAUGGUCGCUACUUUGCUGGAAAACAGGUGGGAUGUGAAUUUGUUAACCUAACCAGAUGGAAGGUUGCAAUAUGUGGGGAGUAUAUGAAGUCAAGGUUUAAGACAUGUUCCCGUGGAACAGCAUGUAAUUUCAUUCACUGUUUUCGCAAUCCUGGUGGAGAUUAUGAAUGGGCAGAUAGUGACAAACCACCCCCGAGGUAUUGGGUGCAAAAAAUGGUUGCAUUAUUUGGCCGCUCUAAUGAAUCUGCACAUGAGGGACUAAGGGAACAAGGGAAUUUGGAUAAACCAAAUAGCUCUGGCAAAAGAUCAAGCGCUGAUGCAAACAGAUAUUGCUCAAGAAGAUCUGGAACUAGAGAAACUAGUUACUGGGACCAUAGCCAUAGUGGUUCAGGUAGAAGAAAGGAGAAUGCAGAUUUUGUUAGGAGAAGAGCAGAUCAGUUUAGGUGUACAAGUGAUGAUAAUGAUAUCAGAAGUCUUGAUGACGAUAUCCGUGAAGAGAGUAUGGACUUAAAAGACAAACAUCGCAAGAAAAGAAAAAUUUGUCAUACUGAUUCUGAUGGAAAAGUAUUUGAUGAUGAUAGGGAGAUAAGCAGAGAUGAUUUUCAUGAUUAUAUGAGAGAAAGCUCAAGAUGGCAGAGUCAGGACAACAAGAACAGCACUCAUGAAUAUGGUUCAGAUGGAGAAUGGUUGACAAGGGAAGGGGAGAGAGACAGACACUGUGAUCGCGCUAGGAAAAGCUCAAAUCAUCAGAAGAGAGUGAGAAAGCUGGAUGAUUAUGGAAAUUAUAGAAGUCAUGAAAUAGAUUUCAAUAGGAGAGACAAGAGUGGAAACAGGGAAAUAUCACAUGAUAGCAGGAGGAGCAGCUCAAGACACUCUAGAUAUUCUGGUGAUCGCCGGGACAGGAAGAACAGGAGUCAUGAUACCGAUAGAGAGUUGUCAGACAAAGGCAGCCAUGGUGAUGAGUUGUUGGACAAGGAUGAAGUAAGGCACUGUCGUCAAAUUAGGAGACAACUGAAUGAAGUAUCAGAUUUUUCCUAUGAUCAAGGAGAACCAGAAAAUAGCUUGGAAAAGAGAGGCAACGAUUCAAGCAUAGAUGUCAUAAAAGCAGAUUCUUGUAACAGUAAUUGGGGAUCAGAUAAGAGCCAUGAUUCUGGCACUUCAAGUCAAUAUGAUGAGAGAUAUAAAUCACAUGAUCCAUGGGAAUCUGAACAGUGUUCCUAUAAGAAACCCCACAAGUCUAGCAUGGUAACUAGUUCUAGCAGCAGUCCAGGUCGAUACAAUGGAAAGCAAAAACCGAUUGACUAUGAUUCAGAGUUAUAUCAUUACGAAGCCCACGAGGAGCAUCCUCCAGAAUCUGAAGAAGUUAUUUCAGAACACUGGAAGUCUAAAAGUAAGUCUUGCUCUGAUCAUUAUGAGCAAUAUCCUGGUAAGGGUGGGAGAGAAAGCAGAGCAAGGAGAAGCAGCAAAUUAAGCCAUGGGAGACACUCAAAUACCUUGGAGAAGAGGGGUUUUCUAGAGGAUGACAAAAAACUUCAAAAGAUUUGAGAAAAAUCCGACUCGUCUCAAUUCUGAUGAUCAUUCUCGACAUGGUGAGAGAAAGUAUUAAAACGUCAAGGGGAGUUCAUGAACUUGUGUGGUGUGCCUUGCACUUGUAUAGAAAGCCCAGGGGAAUUUGGAGGCCGUAUGCGUAGAUUUUGUAGGAACCAAUCGAUUGGUGGAUGCGUUUAGAGCUGCGUUUCUCAGCUCUGCCCAGUGUGUGCACCGCGAUCCCCAUUCCUUCAGUCCUGGCAGGCAUCACCCUUCUCCCCCACCAUGUUUGCCCAGAUCUGAGCAUCACGAGUUCCAUCUCCGAUAGGCUAUCAUCAUCUCCCAUCUUUGGUUGCAAGAUCUCCUCUCCACUUCUCUUGUUGCCGUCCUUCUCUAACCCCAACAAACUAGAUUCGCUGUGGCUUCUUUCUCCCCAACUCUUUUUUUUUUUUGCUAUGCCUUGUUUGACGAGUGAAUGUUGUUGGAAUCAUGCCUGGCACUAAGACUUUUGCCAAGAAAGUUUAUGUUGCAUCUCGAUUUGUAACUGAUGAGGCUGGGGAGCUUUCUGCAAAACAAAGAAAUUUAUGCGAGCAUAGAUUUUGGGUUGAAAUCAUUCAUCCAUCAGUGUUCCAUCUUGGAUUACUGUCCGACAAUUUUAGCAAAUCUCUUGAUAUUGAUCAAGAUGAAGUCACUGUUCGUGAAA